AAAAAAAACAGGCCCAAGACUUAAUAAAUAAAUCAGUUUUGUCUAAUUAAAUCAUCAAUCAAAUAUGUAAGGCAAUUCAAUUAAUAAAAUUUUAGCCCAUUUCGAAAAUUUAAAAAGGCCCAGCUAAAUAAAUAGACAUGGCCCUAUUAAAAAAUAAAAACAAGCCCAAACAUUUAUUAAAAUCGGCCCAAAUAAUUUAACUCGGCCCAAAAUAGGAGCCCAAACUCAAACCCAACACUCAAGCCCACUCCCCAAGCCCUAGCCCAACCCUCAAAGCCCAACUCCCAUCCCUACUUCUUCCCCCCAUCAGCCACACGCACACACACUCACGCUUCAAUCACUUUCACGCCUCUCUCGCCUAUUUCUUCUCUCUGCUCGGUCGAGUGCGGCACCGCCUCCGGCGCGCCGCCUCGCCGGACGCUUCCUCCCCUCCCUCAAAACCUCGCCGCCACAGCUCCUCCUCCUGCGACGAACGCCGCCGGCCACCCCUCUCCCGACGCCCCUCCUCUUCUCC
Molecule: long non-coding RNA, 514 nt
Filed under: Salvia miltiorrhiza (redroot sage)
Lineage: Eukaryota; Viridiplantae; Streptophyta; Magnoliopsida; Lamiales; Lamiaceae
Description: long non-coding RNA (SMIL_LNC011526)
Source: RNAcentral